RNAcentral lists this small RNA (880 nucleotides) under Pan troglodytes (chimpanzee). RNAcentral describes it as "retained intron". The record is from RNAcentral. Lineage: Eukaryota; Metazoa; Chordata; Mammalia; Primates; Hominidae.
UUCCCCCUGCCCUCUGCAUGUGACCCCGAUCCCUCAUCCUGGUCUCCACGCCGCCCCUCCCGCACACCUGCCUUCGGAUGGCCCCGGCAGGAUCAUGGCGGGGCACUGGGGCCCGAGGAGUUCAAGGCCUGCCUCAUCAGCCUGGGCUACGACGUGGAGAACGACCGGCAGGGUGAGGCCGAGUUCAACCGCAUCAUGAGCCUGGUCGACCCCAACCAUAGCGGCCUUGUGACCUUCCAAGCCUUCAUCGACUUCAUGUCGCGGGAGACCACCGACACGGACACGGCCGACCAGGUCAUCGCUUCCUUCAAGGUCCUGGCAGGGGACAAGAACUUCAUCACAGCUGAGGAGCUGCGGAGAGAGCUGCCCCCCGACCAGGCUGAGUACUGCAUCGCCCGCAUGGCGCCAUACCAGGGCCCUGAUGCCGUGCCCGGCGCCCUCGACUACAAGUCCUUCUCCACGGCCUUGUAUGGCGAGAGCGACCUGUGAGGCCCCAGAGAGACCCGACCCAACACCCCCCAUGGCCUCCAGGAGGGGCCUGGGCAGCCCCACAGUCCCGUUCCUCCACUCUGUAUCUAUGCAAAGCACUCUCUGCAGUCCUCCGGGGUGGGUGGGUGGGCAGGGAGGGGCUGGGGCAGGCUCUCUCCUCUCUCUCUUUGUGGGUUGGCCAGGAGGUUCCCCCGACCAGGUUGGGGAGACUUGGGGCCAGCGCUUCUGGUCUGGUAAAUAUGUAUGAUGUGUUGUGCUUUUUUAACCAAGGAGGGGCCAGUGGAUUCCCACAGCACAACCGGUCCCUUCCAUGCCCUGGGGAUGCCUCACCACACCCAGGUCUCUUCCUUUGCUCCGAGGUCCCUUCAAGGCCUCCCCAAUCCAGGCCAAA